CAGGACUCCUAUCCGUCUCCAUUUCCAAGCGGGUGAAAGGGCCUUCUGGAACAGAGUCACCUCUACUCGUGAUCAGAGGGAACUACACAAAUGCAUGACUGCCAACCACAAACCGAGGACCUUGGAGCAUCACCUUGAAGUCUAGGAAUCUAGGGAAAAGUUUGUAAGACAAUCAUAUUAGAAAUCUGGUGUGGAGGUGGAGAUAGGGUCUCCGGCACUGCUGUUCGGCGUGAAUUAUGAAUUUUCAGCAUACACAAUGGAAGGCGUCCCCGAGGAAGGGACGUGAACAUCGAGAGGAUCGAAAGGUGUGGAUGUUGUCCAGAUGGGAGUGGAAGGAGGUGUGGUCGUGAUGGGCUUGUUCCGGAGAGAAAGGGGCCUGUGAAGAGGCCCAGAGCUUGGAGCUGUCGUGACGAUAUAGAGGAGCUCAAGAGAGUUCACUGUGGCUGGAAGGUGGAGUCUUGAGGCUGAGGAGACGGAGGAGGGAACACGGAGGCUGAGUCAUCAGGGCCUUGCCUGAGCCUUAAGAAGCCGAGAUGUCGCCCUGAGGACCACAGUACCCAGGAGCAUCUGCAGCUAUUUAUUUGUUCAUUCAUUGGCUGUCUGGGCCUCCUUCACCCGAUACAUGUAAGCUCUAUGAAGACAAGGAACUUCUUGAUCUGGUGAACAUUUGGUUCUGCUGUGGAUUAGCCGAAUCAAAAGAUGAAAAGGUGCCUGUGCAGGCGGGAGCAUCAUUUUCUAACGCACAUGCGGGCGCCCGCCCGGGAGCUGCAGCCCUGACAUCACAUGGGAAAUACCGGCGUCCAGCCUGGAGCUGGGGUGAAAGAACGAGGGGAUCCAUCCAUCUUUAAGCAAGAGAUCACAGCCUCGGGGAGUGGAUGGCUUCAGAAAGAAGGGUCAGAGGAAUUUCAUGAAAGGCGCUCCAGCUGUGCUGCCUCUGCUGUGCGUCGGUCGCCGCAGCCUUAGCCAGUGACAGCAACAGCGGCGGCAGCGGAUUAAAGGAUGGUUCCCCAGCGGAAAACCUCCAGAACAUCCUUCACUUCUGGCAUUUAACUUCUGAUGGUGCCCAGCAGGAAAUCCUUGUUUCCAUGUUCCCACCUGCCAUGGAACAGCUGAUUCCUGAUCCAAGGCGUCUAGCAAGACCUUGCUGUCCAACUAGAUUACGUCUUUGUCACGCCGGUGGAAGUGGACGCGGGCGGGUCGUAUAUUUCACACGACAUUUCGCACAGCGGCAGGAGAAAGCGGUCCGCUCAGAGUGCC
Long non-coding RNA from Molossus molossus (Pallas's mastiff bat), 1257 nucleotides. RefSeq lists it as uncharacterized. Lineage: Eukaryota; Metazoa; Chordata; Mammalia; Chiroptera; Molossidae. The record is from RefSeq and is a predicted model, not a curated record. The transcript is spliced from 9 exons.